This 468-nucleotide ribosomal RNA is filed under the name uncultured bacterium. RNAcentral describes it as "partial 16S ribosomal RNA". It matches the Rfam family "Bacterial small subunit ribosomal RNA", at positions 28 to 507 of the family's 1533-position model. The record is from RNAcentral.
GACGAACGCUGGCGGCGUGCUUAACACAUGCAAGUCGAACGGAAAGGCCCUGCUUUUGUGGGGUGCUCGAGUGGCGAACGGGUGAGUAACACGUGAGUAACCUGCCCUUGACUUUGGGAUAACUUCAGGAGACUGGGGCUAAUACCGGAUAGGAGCUCCUGCUGCAUGGUGGGGGUUGGAAAGUUUCGGCGGUUGGGGAUGGACUCGCGGCUUAUCAGCUUGUUGGUGGGGUAGUGGCUUACCAAGGCUUUGACGGGUAGCCGGCCUGAGAGGGUGACCGGCCACAUUGGGACUGAGAUACGGCCCAGACUCCUACGGGAGGCAGCAGUGGGGAAUACUGCACAAUGGGCGGAAGCCUGAUGCAGCAACGCCGCGUGCGGGAUGACGGCCUUCGGGUUGUAAACCGCUUUCGCCUGUGACGAAGCGUGAGUGACGGUAAUGGGUAAAGAAGCACCGGCUAACUACGUG